RNAcentral lists this long non-coding RNA (1351 nucleotides) under Salmo salar (Atlantic salmon). RNAcentral's name for it is "lncRNA (ENSSSAG00000082898.1)". The record is from RNAcentral. Lineage: Eukaryota; Metazoa; Chordata; Actinopteri; Salmoniformes; Salmonidae.
GUGCAACCAAUUACCUUCAGAAGUCACAUAAUUAGUUAGAUUGCACACAGGUGGACUUUAUUUAUGCGUCACAUGAUCUGUCACAUGAUCUCAGUAUAUAUACACCUGUUCUGAAAGGCCCCAGAGUCUGCAACACCACUGAGCAAGGGGCACCACCAAGAAAGCGGCACCAUGAAGACCAAGGAGCUCUCCAAACAGGUCAGGGACAAAGUUGUGGAGAAGUACAGAUCAGGGUUGGGUUAUAAAAAAAUAUCAGAAACUUUGAACAUCCCACGGAGCACCAUUAAAUCCUUUAUUAAAAAAGGGAAAGAAUAUGGCACCAUCAAGUAAGACGCUAUGUCUGGGGCAAACCCAACACCUCUCAUCACCCCGAGAACCCCAUCCCCACAGUGAAGCAUGGUGGUGGCAGCAUCAUGUUGUGGGGAUGUUUUUCUUCGGCAGGGACUGGGAAACUGGUCAGAGUUGAAGGAAUGAUGGAUGGCGCGAAAUGCAGGGAAAUUCUUGAUGGAAACCUGUUUCAGUCUUCCAGAAAUUUGAGACUGGGACAGUAUGCUUAGGCAUACUGCUAAAGCAACACUUGAGUGGUUUAAGGGGAAACAUGUAAAUCCCAGACCUCAAUCCAAUUGAGAAUCUGUGGUAUGAUUUAGAUUGCUGUACACCAGUGGAAACCAUCCAACUUGAAGGAGCUGGAGCAGUUUUGCCUUGAAGAAUGGGCAAAAAUCCCAGUGGAUAGAUGUGCCAAGCUUAUAAAGAAAUACCCCAAGAGACUUGCCGCUGUAAAUGCUACAAAAGGUGGCUCUACAAAAUAUUGACUUUGGGAGGGUGAAUAGUUAUGCAUGCUCAAGUUUUCAGUUUUUUUGUCUUAUUUCUUGUUUGUUUCACAAUAAAAAAUAUUUUGCAUCUUCAAAGUGGUAGCCAUGUUGUGUAAAUCAAAUGAUACAACCCCCCCAAAAAUCUAUUUUAAUUCCAGGUUGUAAGGCAACAAAAUAGGAAAAAUGCCAAGGGGGUGAAUACUUUCGUAAGCCACUGUACAAACUCCAGUGAUCAUCAUAACCGCGGCUAUGGCGAUCAUUGAACCUACAUACUGUGCAUUCGGAAAGUAUUCAGACCCCUUGACUUAUUACAUUUUAUGGAACAAACUUUAUCUCCAAAGAGAAUUGGAACAAGCUGAAACGAUGGAUUGUAUUUACAUAAAAUAUUACUUUGUUUUGAUAUUAUUCAGUAGGUUUAACCAAAGGUUAAUUAAAAGCAUGUUGCGAGUUCAAAGAAAUAGGUUGUGACUUCAAAUAUAGGUUUGUUAGUAAUCAAAUAUAACAGUUGGCAUUGAAUCAUUUACCGUGCAUUCGGAAAG